Molecule: long non-coding RNA, 1987 nt
Organism: Helianthus annuus (common sunflower)
Lineage: Eukaryota; Viridiplantae; Streptophyta; Magnoliopsida; Asterales; Asteraceae
Exons: 4
Source: RefSeq, a predicted model, not a curated record
GUUUUUUUAAUUGAUUGAGAAUUAUUCGGCCAUCGCCCCGCAACGCGGGCGGUGGCAUUAACUAGUUAUCCUACAUAUACAUUUACCAAUGGGGAAUAGUGCUAGGCAGCUGCCUGGCACUCCCCUAUUGGACCAACGCGUUUAUUGUUUUAUAACCAUUUUAAAAUUACGUUUUUGUCCCCAGCUCAAAAUAAAAUUACGUUUUUUGUCCUCAUCUCAAAAUUACAAUCUUGCCCUCAAUUCAAAAUUACGACUUUGCCUGCCACUCUCCCAUUGGACCAACCAGUUUAUUAUUUUAUAUCCAUUCUAAAAUCACGUUUUUGUCCCUCUUUAAAAUUAAUGUUUUGCCCCAGCUCAAAAUAAAAUUACGCAUUUGUCCCCAUCUUAAAAUUCCGAUUUUUCCCUCCAUUCAAAAUAAAAUUGUGGUUUUGCCCUCAGCUCAGAAUUACUUUUACGCCCCCAGUUCAAAAUAAAAUUUUGUUUUUGCCCCCAGCUAGAAAUUACGAUUUUGCCCUUUGUUCAAAAAUGUGAUUUUCCCCGUUAAAAAAUUGAGAUUUCGCCCUCAAUUCAAAAUUACGUUUUUCCCCAGUUCAAAAUAAAAUUAUGUUUUUGCCCUAACUCAAAAUUACGAUUUUGCCCUCGGUUCAAAAUAAAAUUGUGCUUUUGCCUCCAGCCUAAAAUUACGAUUGUGCCCUUAGUUCAAAUUUACAUUACAUUGUUACCCCAAGUUCAAAAUUACGAAUUUGCCCCUGUGAAAAUUUACAAAUUUGCUCCUGGUUCAAAUUUACAGUACUGCUAUUACUUUAGCUUUUUGCAAAUUACAAUUUACAAUUUUAUCCCAGUAAAAAAACAACUUUUCCUCAGUUAAAAAUUACAAUAUUGCCAUUGUUUUAGUUUUUUUUUAAUCAAAACUUUAAAAGUGUUUUGUUUUAAUUGGUUGACUCGAUUUAAUUGUUUUUUUUUUUAUCAAUGAGCUGACUAAUACUUGCUCAUUAUUCGGCUAUCGCCCCGCUACGCGGGCAGAGCAUUAAUUAACUAUUAACUAUUAACUAUUUUAACUAGUUGAUAGACAAAGUGAAAUAAAUAGUGGUUUAUUGUGGUUCAUUAUGAUUGGUUGGUUUAACCAAUGAACUAACUCCACCAAGACAAUAUUUGGCUUCGUCUUCUCAACCACGACACCAUGUAAACCCCCCAUCUACCCUUACACAUAUCCAGAAGGAAAAAUAGGAGAUGCCAAAGCCGUCGGCCACCGAUGAGAGAGAGAGAGAGAGAGCGCGAUCGCGAAUGAACAACAUCGCGGGCGAAGUCCUCACGCAGUCCCCCAUACUCCAGCCAUAACAAUGACGGUCGACAACGAGUUCGUGUGAGGACCGCGCAACGGCUAGGGUUUCACGGGAUCAACAAGUAAUGAAGGUGGUAGCUACGAUUUUGAGACACGACGACAGCUUUGAGAAAGCACAUCGCCUUCCAGCUCUGCUCGUCGCUCUUUGGUUCCCGGGAAUGUAACGCACCGCACCGCACCGCAUCGCCAACGUCCAGUUUAUCUGUGAAUAUACUCGCAAAGGUUGAUGAACUAAUCAAGGACAAGACUGAAACGGAGAAGGGCAGGUUCUGGUGCAAAAGAGCAAAAACGAGUAAUAUGGGAAUGAUCAGCCAGUCGGGCAGAGUAGAAUGCCAGAGACCGAAUUAAAAUUGCCGCUAUUUUUCUUGAUUGGAUAAAGACGAAUAAGAGGAGGCUGCCAUAAAAAAAAAGCAAUAUCAUCGAGCCGCACAUAAUUCACGUAGGAGGGCUCUAUGUCACACCCCAACCAAUGGCGGAAACAUCGGGAUGAGACGAAGUGUGAAGAUUGCUAGAGACAUCAUAACGCUAUUUGUGACAAUAUUUAGAAAAUCCAAAUUUCAUUUCAUUUCAUAACUUCAAAUAGUCAACAUUACAAGAAAUUCAAAUACAACAAGUUUAACAUAACAACAUGAUAACAUAACAAAA